Molecule: transfer RNA, 68 nt
Filed under: Episoriculus umbrinus
Lineage: Eukaryota; Metazoa; Chordata; Mammalia; Eulipotyphla; Soricidae
Description: tRNA-Arg
Rfam family: tRNA
About the family: Transfer RNA (tRNA) molecules are approximately 80 nucleotides in length.
Source: RNAcentral
UAGUAAUUAGUUUAAGUAAAACAAAUGAUUUCGACUCAUUAAAUUGUGACCCAUCUCACAAUUACUAA